AACUAUGAUCAUGUCUCGGAAGCUAAGCAGGGUCGGGCCUGGUUAGUACUUGGAUGGGAGACCACCUAGGAAGACCAGGUGCUGUAGGCG
This 90-nucleotide ribosomal RNA is filed under the name Pteropus alecto (black flying fox). The record is from RNAcentral. Lineage: Eukaryota; Metazoa; Chordata; Mammalia; Chiroptera; Pteropodidae.